UACAGCAGCUCCGGCUCCGCAAGCUGAAGGGCUCUUCCCUUCUUCUUCCCCUUUCCCCUAUCGGCGGCUGUGGCGGAUUCGCUUCGCCCACGACGAGCGGACGUUGCCGCCGCCGCUGCGGCAGAGCGCCCCCCAGCAGCAACCGAAGCGGUCCGUGCCGACGUCCGACCAGGACCACCCGCUGCUCCCGCGGGACCGGCGCUGCCGCCUCCUCCGCGCCGGGUUCCCCGCCGCCGGUAGCACCACCAACCCGACCUGAACCGCCGGACGCUGCUCCGUCGGCAGCCGCGGCGCCACCUGCGCCGCACCGCGACGAAGCCCCUGCCGUCCGAGGUACGGGAACAGUUGACGACGAGGAAGCUCCCCCUUCACGUUCUAACGGAGUCGCACUGACUUCUACUCAUGUUGUUCUGGUACUUUCAGUUACAUUAGUGUGGAACCGAGGACUAUUUCCGCUAUCGCUUCGCCAAGGCCCUACGCGUCAGCCCGCCGAGGCACCAAACGAACUGGGUCUAGUAGCCGCGGCUCUCUCCUAACAUAGGCCCCCGACGCCGUAUGCCGUGUUCAAAUCCGCGGCAAGUGGUCGAGCAGUCUCACUACGGCGACGCCGCCACCGACCUGGGCCCGUUCCUGGAGCGAAGGUGCCACGACAUGGACCAGCCGCUGCUGAGGGCGAAGUACUGUCCGUGGUGGUAGAUACAGCUGCCGGUUGUCGCCAAACACCUGGUUCGGCAUAGUUACCGCAAGUCUCUCUUGCCUCGUUGGUUGAUGUAGGCGUAGGUCCCAUUGCCGUAGUGGCGGCCUCGCUGCUGCCUCCGCCGGUACCGCCUCGCCCCCCACCUCAGCCAGGACAAGGCCCCCUUCUUCGACUACGGCGUCUGGUUGCUGCUCGCCGACCUGCCGCACCACCUCGUCGACCACGGCUACGACGGCCAAGGUGUUGCGUUCUCGGGCACCGUUGCGCCGUUUGACUUCAACAAGCGGCCGCAGCGUGUCCCGCAGAAACCGCAGCGUCCUUUGGGAUGGAACCCCAACCGUGUCCCGUAGAGACCGCAGCAUCCUUUGGGGUGGCGCCCCGACCACGUCCCUCACCGGCUGGUAGGGUGGGACGACUUCGGCGUCCCGCAGAGACGGUUCAGGUACCAACCGCUCAGGUUCCGGCAGAGACAGGUCCGGAGGCACCAGCUCCGCUUGACGUGAUUGUAGCUACAGACGGGACUUGACAAACGUAGAUUUUCGAGAACACUGCUACCUUUCAGAUGGAGGUUCCCUGGUUUUUUCUUUUAGCCAGGAUUUUCUAGAAGCGGACUGUGUACAUGAGUGCUACUGUCACUUCAUAUAGUUCGACCACGAUUUUCUUCCUGAGAAUUGGGGAGAUAAGGAGUAUUCCUCUCGAACCUCAGACUUCUAAAAAGACGUUUCAUC
Molecule: ribosomal RNA, 1425 nt
Filed under: Triticum aestivum (bread wheat)
Lineage: Eukaryota; Viridiplantae; Streptophyta; Magnoliopsida; Poales; Poaceae
Description: partial small subunit ribosomal RNA
Source: RNAcentral